UCAGAAUUUGGAAGAUUUCUAGUUUGGACAUAGACUGGAAGAAGCAAGAACAAUGGAGGAUGGCGAUUACGAAACGUACUUUAUAACCAGUUCCGAAGCCACUGAGUUCGUUGAGUGCUUCUUCGAACGAAUGUACUGCAAGACGUGGGAAGAUUGUAGGAAUGACGAGCCUGUCUGGGUGGGACCCAUGCAGCCAUCCAAAGUAUGCUGGGGUCCCCCCUUGUACGCUCCGAUGUGCUCACUCUCCGUCCAUAGCUUUGCUUGGACGCUUGAAAAAGAGAUUCGGACGGGUUUGUCAGUCAGCAGAGUAGUGGCAACAAAAGGCAAGGUGUCAGGGUGGCAAGUUUUGAGCAUAGAAUAUUUCAUUGGCAACUACGAUACGCCAACUGAAAUCCGUGCAAAGACACGAUUGUAUUCAGCAAGUGGCAGUCCCCCUCUCACGUUUACAUACAUUAUCCAGCUUCAAAUGAUACUGAGAGGUCUAGAAACCCUAUACAUGCAUAUUUGUGGAGUGGAGAUAUGGCAGGAGGACUUGUGAUGGCCGGCUGGCCGACGAAUGCAAGCUGUUCUCCAGUGUGGUAAAAUCGAUUGGAUGGAGCGUGCUGGUUGAAGACCUGAUACACGUAGCUUUGAUCAAACCAGCCGUCGUAGACUACGCUUGCAACAACAUCCAGCCGAGCCAGAUACACCAAGCUAUUGUGCAUUACCUGUGAAUAAUAAUGUGUGUACAAAUAUUA
Long non-coding RNA from Sycon ciliatum, 737 nucleotides. RefSeq lists it as uncharacterized. The record is from RefSeq and is a predicted model, not a curated record. Lineage: Eukaryota; Metazoa; Porifera; Calcarea; Leucosolenida; Sycettidae. The transcript is spliced from 2 exons.